RNAcentral lists this ribosomal RNA (441 nucleotides) under uncultured bacterium. RNAcentral describes it as "partial 16S ribosomal RNA". It matches the Rfam family "Bacterial small subunit ribosomal RNA", at positions 338 to 795 of the family's 1533-position model. The record is from RNAcentral.
CCUACGGGAGGCAGCAGUGGGGAAUAUUGCACAAUGGGCGAAACCCUGAUGCAGCGACGCCGCGUGAGUGAAGAAGUAUUUCGGUAUGUAAAGCUCUAUCAGCAGGAACGAGACAAGACGGUACCUGACUAAUAAGCCCCGGCUAACUACGUGCCCGCAGCCGCGGUAAUACGUAGGGGGCAAGCGUUUUCCGAGAUCACUGGGUGUAAAGGGAGCGUAGACGGCGGAGCAAGUCUGAAGUGAAAGGCGGGGGCUCAACCCCCGGACUGCAUUGGAAACUGUACGGCUUGAGUACAGGAGAGGUAAGUGGAAUUCCUGGUGUAGCGGUGAAAUGCGUAGAUAUUAGGAGGAACACCAGUGGCGAAGGCGGCUUACUGGACUGUAACUGACGUUGAGGCUCGAAAGCGUGGGGAGCAAACAGGAUUAGAUACCCUUGUAGUC